UAGGGAAUCUUCGGCAAUGGACGCAAGUCUGACCGAGCAACGCCGCGUGAGUGAAGAAGGUUUUCGGAUCGUAAAACUCUGUUGUUAGAGAAGAACAAGGACGUUAGUAACUGAACGUCCCCUGACGGUAUCUAACCAGAAAGCCACGGCUAACUACGUGCCAGCAGCCGCGGUAAUACGUAGGUGGCAAGCGUUGUCCGGAUUUAUUGGGCGUAAAGCGAUCGCAGGCGGUUUCUUAAGUCUGAUGUGAAAGCCCCCGGCUCAACCGGGGAGGGUCCUUGGAAACUGGUAGACUUGAGUGCAGAAGAGGCGAGUGGAAUUCCAUGUGUAGCGGUGAAAUGCGUACAUAUAUGGAGGAACACCAGUGGCGAAGGCGGCUCUCUGGUCUGUAACUGACGCUGAGGCUCGAAAGCGUGGGGAGCAAACAGG
RNAcentral lists this ribosomal RNA (429 nucleotides) under Gemmatimonadota bacterium. RNAcentral's name for it is "Gemmatimonadetes bacterium partial 16S ribosomal RNA". It matches the Rfam family "Bacterial small subunit ribosomal RNA", at positions 355 to 776 of the family's 1533-position model. The record is from RNAcentral. Lineage: Bacteria; Pseudomonadati; Gemmatimonadota.